GCCAAGGCUAAAUAUAAACGAGUGAGCGAUAGUGAACCAGUACCGUGAGGGAAAGGUGAAAAGAACCCCGGGAGGGGAGUGAAAGAGAACCUGAAACCGUAUGCCUACAAGAAGUCAGAGCCCGUUAAAGGGUGAUGGCGUGCCUUUUGUAGAAUGAACCGGCGAGUUACUGUAUGGAGCGAGGUUAAGCAGGAUAUGCGGAGCCGAAGCGAAAGCGAGUCUUAAGAGGGCGCGAGUUGCAUGCAGUAGACCCGAAACCGGGUGAUCUAGCCAUGACCAGGUUGAAGUUGGGGUAAAACCCGAUGGAGGACCGAACCGACCCCCGUUGAAACGUUGGCGGAUGAGUUGUGGCUAGGGGUGAAAUUCCAAUCGAACCCGGAGAUAGCUGGUUCUCCCCGAAAUAGCUUUAGGGCUAGCGUCGAGAGAAGAGUUGCGUGAAGGUAGAGCACUGAAUAUGUGAUGGCCCCAUCUCGGGGUACUGAGCAUAAUCAAACUGCGAAUGUCACGCCAACAUGCUCGGCAGUCAGACAGCGGGUGAUAAGGUCCGUUGUCAAGAGGGAAACAGCCCAGACCAUCAGCUAAGGUCCCAAAAUGUAUGCUAAGUGGAAAAGGAUGUGGAGAUGUACAGACAACUAGGAGGUUGGCUUAGAAGCAGCCAUCCUUUAAAGAGUGCGUAAUAGCUCACUAGUCGAGUGACCCUGCGCCGAAAAUGUACCGGGGCUAAAACAAUUUACCGAAGCUGUGGAUACCUUUAUAGGUAUGGUAGGAGAGCGUUCUAUGUGUGAAGAAGGUGUACCGUGAGGAGUGCUGGAACGCAUAGAAGUGAGAAUGCCGGUAUGAGUAGCGAAAGACAGGUGAGAAUCCUGUCCACCGUAAGACUAAGGUUUCCAGGGGAAGGCUCGUCCGCCCUGGGUUAGUCGGGACCUAAGGAGAGACCGAAAGGUGUAUCCGAUGGACAACAGGUUGAUAUUCCUGUACUAGAGUAUGUAGUGAUGGAGGGACGCAGUAGGCUAACUAAAGCAGACGAUUGGAAGAGUCUGUCUAAGCAGUGAGGUGUGAUAUGAGUCAAAUGCUUAUAUCUAUAACAUUGAGCUGUGAUGGGGAGCGAAGUUUAGUAGCGAAGUUAGUGACGUCACACUGCCAAGAAAAGCUUCUAGCGUUUAAACAUACUCUACCCGUACCGCAAACCGACACAGGUAGUCGAGGCGAGUAGCCUCAGGUGAGCGAGAGAACUCUCGUUAAGGAACUCGGCAAAAUGACCCCGUAACUUCGGGAGAAGGGGUGCUGAUUUAGGUCAGCCGCAGUGAAUAGGCCCAAGCAACUGUUUAUCAAAAACACAGCUCUCUGCUAAAUCGUAAGAUGAUGUAUAGGGGGUGACGCCUGCCCGGUGCUGGAAGGUUAAGAGGAGUGCUUAGCGCAAGCGAAGGUAUGAAUUGAAGCCCCAGUAAACGGCGGCCGUAACUAUAACGGUCCUAAGGUAGCGAAAUUCCUUGUCGGGUAAGUUCC
Molecule: ribosomal RNA, 1506 nt
Filed under: human gut metagenome
Description: bacterial LSU rRNA
Rfam family: Bacterial large subunit ribosomal RNA
Source: RNAcentral